GAACUGCGAAACGUAGUGUGAAUUGCAGAAUUCCGUGAACCAUCGAAUCUUUGAACGCAGAUUGCGCCCAAGGUUUCGGCCAAGGGCACGUUUCGCUCAGUGUCGGCACAACCCUUCACUCACUUCUGUGGGUGAGAUCUGGUAUUCCCUUUGCUAUGCUGAGGGUCUGCCGAAUGGCAUUGCCGGGUUCCUGAUAACCUGACGGCUUUGUCGAGCAAUUAUUUGUUGUCAAUAUCAGAGAUCCGAGCUCCCUUUACUCAAUCUUCGACCUGAGCUGAAGCGAGGCUACCCGCUGAACUUAA
RNAcentral lists this unclassified non-coding RNA (302 nucleotides) under uncultured fungus. Its description in RNAcentral is "sequence contains ITS1". The stretch from base 1 to 105 matches the Rfam family "5.8S ribosomal RNA", at positions 50 to 154 of the family's 154-position model. Lineage: Eukaryota; Fungi. The record is from RNAcentral.